RNAcentral lists this small nuclear RNA (20 nucleotides) under Arabidopsis thaliana (thale cress). RNAcentral describes it as "snRNA_08004". The record is from RNAcentral. Lineage: Eukaryota; Viridiplantae; Streptophyta; Magnoliopsida; Brassicales; Brassicaceae.
GGAUUGUGUAAGAUGGGUGA